This 399-nucleotide ribosomal RNA is filed under the name uncultured bacterium. Its description in RNAcentral is "bacterial SSU rRNA". It matches the Rfam family "Bacterial small subunit ribosomal RNA", at positions 355 to 771 of the family's 1533-position model. The record is from RNAcentral.
UGGGGAAUCUUAGACGAUGGGGGAAACCCUGAUCUAGCCAUGCCGCGUGAGUGACGAAGGCCUUAGGGUCGUAAAGCUCUUUCGCCAGGGAUGAUAAUGACAGUACCUGGUAAAGAAACCCCGGCUAACUCCGUGCCAGCAGCCGCGGUAAUACGGAGGGGGUUAGCGUUGUUCGGAAUUACUGGGCGUAAAGCGCACGUAGGCGGACCAUUAAGUCAGGGGUGAAAUCCCGGGGCUCAACCCCGGAACUGCCUCUGAUACUGGCGGUCUUGAGUUCGAGAGAGGUGAGUGGAAUUCCGAGUGUAGAGGUGAAAUUCGUAGAUAUUCGGAGGAACACCAGUGGCGAAGGCGGCUCACUGGCUCGAUACUGACGCUCAGGUGCGAAAGCGUGGGGAGCAA